Molecule: long non-coding RNA, 3318 nt
Filed under: Homo sapiens (human)
Lineage: Eukaryota; Metazoa; Chordata; Mammalia; Primates; Hominidae
Description: HSALNT0255649
Source: RNAcentral
GACAGGGCAGAUAGGUGCAAGUUCCUGUCACCUGAGGAGGACUUUGUUGUUUUGUUUGUUUGUUUCUGAACCCCAGUCUCGUUCUGUCACCCAGGCUGGAGCACAGUGGUGUGAUCUCGGCUCACUGCAAACUCUGCCUCCCAGGUUCAAGCGAUUCUCCCACCUCAGCCUACCGAGUAGCUGGUACUACAGGGGUGCGUCACCACGCCUAGCUAAUUUUUGUAUUUUUAGUAGAGAUGGGGUUUCACCAUGUUGGUCUCUAACUCCUGACCUCUAGUGAUCCGCCCCCCUUGGCCUCCCAAAGUGCUGGGAUAACAGAUGUGAGCCACCGUGCCUGGCCAGGACUUUGGCUUUUAUGCCCAGCGAGGUGGGAGGUAUAGAGGGUUCUGAGCAGAGGAAGGACCUUGCCCUAACUCAAGUGUUCACAGGGGCCCAGUUGAGGCUUCAAGAGCUGCAGCCAGGAGAUGGGAGAGGAGGUGACUGUUCUAGUCCAGAUGAAUGAUAGUGGGGCCUGGACUGGGCAGUGUCCUUGGAGAAAGGGCUGAAUUUGACAUCCGUUUUGGAGGCUGGGCCAACUGGAGGUGCUGGGACAAGGGGGAUGACUCCUUGAUCAGGGUCCGAGCCUUUUGGAGGAUGGCGGGUCACUUUCUGAGAUGGGAGUGGGAUGGCUAUGGUAGGGGGCAGGCUGGCAGAGAGAGACGGCACCUCCCAGUCCUCCGUUCCCUUAAGCGUUUUUCAAGGAAAAGGGAAGCAGAUAUUUCCUAGACCUUUGUUUCUGUCUCCAGGAAGGGCAGGGCUUCCUCCCGGUUGCCAGACAGUCAGGCAGGCCAAAGAAUGGCCUCAGACCAGAGGCUGCCCACCAAGGGCAGAAGCCAUCCCAUAGUGUCCCAUGCAAACGCCUUGCAGUUCCCUCAGCCUGGAAUGCUCUUCCCUUCAACCCCAACAAGGCUGGCUCCUCCUGUCUUGUGGCCUGAGCUUUCUCCUAAAUGAGUGUCCCCCCUACUCCAUCCUGGGCCACAUCCUGGGCGUUCCUUGUCACUCGCCUUAAUAUUCGAAUUCCUUAACUCAUUACUUGCUGAAUUUCUUUUUUAAUUUUUUGAGACAGAGUUUCACUCUGUCACCCUGGCUAGAGUGCAGUGGCACGAUCUCAGCUCACUGCAACCCCUGCCUCCCAGGUUUAAGUGAUUCUCCUGCCUCAGCCUCCCGAGUAGCUGGGAUUACAGACAUACGCCACCAGACCCGGCUAAUUUUUGUGUUUUUAGUAGAGACGGGGUUACACCAUGUUGGCCAGCCUGGUCUCAAACUCCUGACCUCAAGUGAUCCACCUGCCUUGGCCUCCCAAAGGGCUGGGAUUAUAGGCAUGAGCCACUGCUCCCGGCCUAUUUAGUUUUUUUUUUUUUUUUUUUUUUGAGACAAAGUCUCGCUCUGUUGUCCAGGCUGGAGUACAGAGGUGUGAUCUCGGCUCACUGCAACCUCCGUUUCCUAGGUUCAAGAAAUUCUUCUGCCUUAGCCUCCCAAAUAGCUGGGAUUACAGGCACCCACCAACACCCCUGGCUAACUUUUGUAUUUUUUUUUUUUUUCAAGAUGGAGUCUCACUCUGUGGCCCAGGCUGGAGUGCAGUGGUGCGAUCUCGGCUCACUGCAACCUCCACCUCCCAGGUUCAAGUGAUUCUCCUGCCUCAGCCUCCCAAAUAGCUGGGACUACAGGUGCGUGUCACCACGCACAGCUAAUUUUUUGUAUUUUUAGUAGAGACAGGGUUUCACCGUGUUAGCCAGGAUGGUCUCGAUCUUCUUACCUCAUUAUCUGCCUGCCUCACCCUCCCAAAGUGCUGGGAUUACAGGCGUGAGCAAACGCACCCGGCCAACUUUUGUAUUUUUAUUUUACUUUUCAUUUUAUUUAUGUAAAUUUUUGUGAGGUCGUCUCACUCCGUCGCCCAGGCUGGAGUGCAGUGGUGCAAUCUCGGCUCACUGCAACCUCUACUUCCCAGGUUCAAGCGAUUCUCUUGCCUCAGCCUCCCAGGUAGCUGAGACUACAGGUACCCACCACCACAUCUAGCUAAUUUUUGUAUUUUUAGUAGAGAUGAGGUUUUACCAUGUUGGCCUGGCAGGUCUAGAACUCCUGACCUCAGGUGAUCCGCCCGCCUUGGCCUCCAAAAGGCGUGAGCCACUGUGCCCGGCAGAGCUUAUCUUUGAUUACAGAUUUCUUCUGGGGAAUAGCUUAGUUUGUGGUUUUGUUUUUCAAAACUCUGCUUCAGCAAAGAUGUGGGGAAAAAAAAAGGGCUAUGGAAACUCUUCUGAUUCCAGUUUUGGUGAUGGAAGACAGCCACCAGGAAACCCUGCCGAAAGAAUGGGUCAGAUCAAUAAUCUGAGCGGUCCCAGUCCUCCUCCAAUGGCUGAUGGAUGAGGAAGUCAAAUCUGCUGCUUCAAGGAUCAAAGUCUAUGUCCACUGAGGGUGUUUGGAGAAUGUGUUGCAAUCUCUGAAGGCAAUCCCAAGAGAGGCAUUCCAGAGAGGUUUUCAGCCAGGGGUGGCCCAGCAGGAAGUCACUCUGAAAACUCAGGUUUACACAACAUCUACUUGUACAAUCAAGCACACACUCUCAGGCUGCAUGAAGUACUGUCGCAGACAGGACUGCAAACCCUCUCAGGGCAGGAGAGGGAUGUGGCAGGAGUCAGCUCCUAGGAAGUGCCAGCGCCCACGCACCUGUGAGCUCCUGGAGUCUGACUCACCGGGUAAGUGAAUUCUUGUAAUUUCCACAAACAGCCCUGGGGUUCCCCUAAACCAGACCGUGAGCCUCUUGAGACGGCGGAUCCCCAACAGUGCCCAGAACCUGGGAAGGAGCUCAUCGUUCUCAAUGCAAUUAUCAAAAAUGACACUGAGAAGUUAUCUUUAUCCUCCUUGAUUCAAAAAUACAAUUUAUUUUAAAAACAAAAAGAGGGAAUGGAUGCAGAAGCCCGUCUGGGCUUUCCGUGGAGUCGCCCCUUCCCAAUGGCGAUGGCCGCUCCCUGUGGCCUCAGCUUCCUCCGUGGAAUGAAGGGGUCCAGGUGACACCUUCCUCGAAGGGUGGGCGUGGGCCUGAGGCUCCCAAGUCGGCCAGGGGCUCGGCCUGGCUCAGAAGAGGUGCUUCACAUCAACAGUGGUACGGGGUGGCCGCUGGGCCCUGGGUAGCGUGGGGUAGGGGUCGGGGGAAGUCGCUGUAGGGCAGGCUGAAGGGGUAGAGGGGUCUGUAACGUGAGUCCUGCCAGAGCAGCUUGUCCUCCAGGAAGGCGACGGUGGGCAGCGUCAGGACCAGCGUCUGGUGCUUGAGCAUGCUGUGCACAU